Molecule: ribosomal RNA, 429 nt
Filed under: Chloroflexota bacterium
Lineage: Bacteria; Bacillati; Chloroflexota
Description: Chloroflexi bacterium partial 16S ribosomal RNA
Rfam family: Bacterial small subunit ribosomal RNA
Source: RNAcentral
UGGGGAAUAUUGCACAAUGGGCGCAAGCCUGAUGCAGCCAUGCCGCGUGUGUGAAGAAGGCCUUCGGGUUGUAAAGCACUUUCAGCGGGGUGGAAGGCGAUAAGGUUAAUAACCUUGUCGAUUGACGUUACCCGCAGAAGAAGCACCGGCUAACUCCGUGCCAGCAGCCGCGGUAAUACGGAGGGUGCAAGCGUUAAUCGGAAUUACUGGGCGUAAAGCGCACGCAGGCGGUCUGUCAAGUCGGAUGUGAAAUCCCCGGGCUCAACCUGGGAACUGCAUUCGAAACUGGCAGGCUAGAGUCUUGUAGAGGGGGGUAGAAUUCCAGGUGUAGCGGUGAAAUGCGUAGAGAUCUGGAGGAAUACCGGUGGCGAAGGCGGCCCCCUGGACAAAGACUGACGCUCAGGAGCGAAAGCGUGGGGAGCAAACAGG